This 1413-nucleotide ribosomal RNA is filed under the name Staphylococcus haemolyticus. RNAcentral's name for it is "bacterial SSU rRNA". It matches the Rfam family "Bacterial small subunit ribosomal RNA". The record is from RNAcentral. Lineage: Bacteria; Bacillati; Bacillota; Bacilli; Caryophanales; Staphylococcaceae.
GCAGUCGAGCGAACAGACAAGGAGCUUGCUCCUUUGACGUUAGCGGCGGACGGGUGAGUAACACGUGGGUAACCUACCUAUAAGACUGGGAUAACUUCGGGAAACCGGAGCUAAUACCGGAUAAUAUUUCGAACCGCAUGGUUCGAUAGUGAAAGAUGGUUUUGCUAUCACUUAUAGAUGGACCCGCGCCGUAUUAGCUAGUUGGUAAGGUAACGGCUUACCAAGGCGACGAUACGUAGCCGACCUGAGAGGGUGAUCGGCCACACUGGAACUGAGACACGGUCCAGACUCCUACGGGAGGCAGCAGUAGGGAAUCUUCCGCAAUGGGCGAAAGCCUGACGGAGCAACGCCGCGUGAGUGAUGAAGGUCUUCGGAUCGUAAAACUCUGUUAUUAGGGAAGAACAUACGUGUAAGUAACUAUGCACGUCUUGACGGUACCUAAUCAGAAAGCCACGGCUAACUACGUGCCAGCAGCCGCGGUAAUACGUAGGUGGCAAGCGUUAUCCGGAAUUAUUGGGCGUAAAGCGCGCGUAGGCGGUUUUUUAAGUCUGAUGUGAAAGCCCACGGCUCAACCGUGGAGGGUCAUUGGAAACUGGAAAACUUGAGUGCAGAAGAGGAAAGUGGAAUUCCAUGUGUAGCGGUGAAAUGCGCAGAGAUAUGGAGGAACACCAGUGGCGAAGGCGACUUUCUGGUCUGUAACUGACGCUGAUGUGCGAAAGCGUGGGGAUCAAACAGGAUUAGAUACCCUGGUAGUCCACGCCGUAAACGAUGAGUGCUAAGUGUUAGGGGGUUUCCGCCCCUUAGUGCUGCAGCUAACGCAUUAAGCACUCCGCCUGGGGAGUACGACCGCAAGGUUGAAACUCAAAGGAAUUGACGGGGACCCGCACAAGCGGUGGAGCAUGUGGUUUAAUUCGAAGCAACGCGAAGAACCUUACCAAAUCUUGACAUCCUUUGACAACUCUAGAGAUAGAGCCUUCCCCUUCGGGGGACAAAGUGACAGGUGGUGCAUGGUUGUCGUCAGCUCGUGUCGUGAGAUGUUGGGUUAAGUCCCGCAACGAGCGCAACCCUUAAGCUUAGUUGCCAUCAUUAAGUUGGGCACUCUAAGUUGACUGCCGGUGACAAACCGGAGGAAGGUGGGGAUGACGUCAAAUCAUCAUGCCCCUUAUGAUUUGGGCUACACACGUGCUACAAUGGACAAUACAAAGGGCAGCGAAACCGCGAGGUCAAGCAAAUCCCAUAAAGUUGUUCUCAGUUCGGAUUGUAGUCUGCAACUCGACUACAUGAAGCUGGAAUCGCUAGUAAUCGUAGAUCAGCAUGCUACGGUGAAUACGUUCCCGGGUCUUGUACACACCGCCCGUCACACCACGAGAGUUUGUAACACCCGAAGCCGGUGGAGUAACCAUUGGAGCUAGC